Molecule: ribosomal RNA, 253 nt
Filed under: uncultured bacterium
Lineage: Bacteria
Description: partial 16S ribosomal RNA
Rfam family: Bacterial small subunit ribosomal RNA
Source: RNAcentral
UACGAAGGGGGCUAGCGUUGUUCGGAAUUACUGGGCGUAAAGCGCGCGCAGGCGGCCAGCCAAGUCAGGGGUGAAAGCCCGGAGCUCAACUCCGGAAAUGCCUCUGAAACUGUCUGGCUUGAGUACGGAAGAGGUGAGUGGAAUUCCCAGUGUAGAGGUGAAAUUCGUAGAUAUUGGGAAGAACACCGGUGGCGAAGGCGGCUCACUGGUCCGUUACUGACGCUCAGGCGCGACAGCGUGGGGAUCAAACAGG